GUGGUACUCCCUGCGUUCGGAAUUACUUGUCAUAAAAAUAAAUGUAUCUACAACUAAAAUACAUCUAGAUACAUUCAUUUUUUCGACGAGUAAUUCCGAACAGAGGGAGUAGUAU
Molecule: non-coding RNA, 115 nt
Organism: Triticum aestivum (bread wheat)
Lineage: Eukaryota; Viridiplantae; Streptophyta; Magnoliopsida; Poales; Poaceae
Source: Rfam